Alexandromys fortis (reed vole) is the source of this 2617-nucleotide long non-coding RNA. RefSeq lists it as uncharacterized. The transcript is spliced from 6 exons. Lineage: Eukaryota; Metazoa; Chordata; Mammalia; Rodentia; Cricetidae. The record is from RefSeq and is a predicted model, not a curated record.
UGUAGCUGGUUAUGUCCCUCUCCUGAUGGCCCAAGCUGGGACUUCUUCAGUACCAUGAAAGGACACCUAAGGUACAAGUGUGACCAUGAGGAGACAGACCUGGAGAUAGCAAAAGAUCCAUAGGUUGUAAACUACAUCCAUUCCCAGAAUUCUGGGUGGAAAACAGAAAACUGAAGGUGAUGUGGAAUUCCCCUUUGUAUGCUGUGAAUACCAUUGGUUAAUAAAGAAAUUGUCUUGGGCCUGUGCAGUGUAUAGAGGUAGGCAGGGAAAACUAAACUGAAUGCUGGGAGAAAAAGAGGAGUUGGAGAGAAGCCAUGUAGCUCCACACGAGACAGAUGCUGGAACUUUACCCAAUAAGCCACUGCCACAUGGCAAUACACAGCUUAAUGGAGGUAUGAGCUGCUAGGUGGCCAGGAAAUAAACAAAUGGCCUUAUUACAACAUCCUAGUCCUAUUCCUGAAAGUACUCAUUCCUGAAGUAGUCACUGUCCUCAACUGGGAAUUGCUGACUAUGUAUUAUUCCACAGAAUAAAUGCAUGUGUUUGAAGAGGAGGAUUUCAUAGUAUAGAGUGACUGGAAAGGAGAAAAACCUGAUGAUUUCCACCUGGCAAAGCUUCAGUGAUGACUAAAGAGUCUUCUUUACAUGAUUGAAUAGAGAACGAACACAUUUUCUCAUUCAGACCUGGAGGGAGUAACUUAGUACAUUGCUGAAGAGAAUGAUGUACCAAACCCUGUGAUUUCUAAAAGGCACGUCUACAACCUACUAAGCCAUGCUCAGAAAACACCGACAUUCAUUCUGCAGAAAUAAUGGAAAGAUGUCCUUUAACUAUGACUUUUGGAAUACUUGUCAUAAACGACAAUCUGGAUCUUGAUUGUGAAGUAAGCAUUUCAAAUCAAGUAUUUUCAUUAGAAGGCACUCUGUAUGAUGGAGAGGUGGCAAAGGAAAGAAAGGAAAAUCUAUGACAAGAUAAAUCGAUGAGCAUGCUUUUCAAUGGCUUGGCACUGGGAAACAAAGCAAUCUUGCCCAUCUGCUGGAAGAUGAGUAUUGAAUCUUCAUUGGUGGGGGUUUUCUCCGUGGGGGACUAACAGGCAGACACUUGAGCUUUCCAGUGCCUGUACUGGGUCUGCUAAUGUUGCCAGAAGAAACAUCACUAGAAAAUCUCAGGUGCUCUAAAGAAGAAGGCAUCUUAGCUUACUGGAGACAAGGACAAAGAGGGCAAGCUCAUGAGCAUACCUGUGAAUCUCCAGACUCACUUACCAUUGACUCUUCAUUCCAUUCCUUCAAACCUUUGGUCUGACUGCUUAUUAUCUAGACUCCCAUUGUUUGUGGCUUGUUUGUUUUAGAAGUCAUUCAGAAUGUGUUUAUUGAGAUUUACACCACCUCUCUGGGUAGGCUUUCAAUCAAUAACUAGAAUGAAAUGGCAUCUUCCACUUGAUGGCAGGAAACAACAAUUUUAUCAGUCACUUAAUUAUAACAUUUUAAAGAUGUAUUUAUGUUUUAUUUCAUGUGUAUGGGUUUUUUGACUGCAUGGGUGUCUGUGUAUCACAUGCACAAAACACUGUAAACAUCAUUGGGGUAUAGAGUCUGCUAGAUCUGGCUAGAAUUAAAGACACUGUUAGUCAUUGGUGCUGGGAGAGCAACCAGUGCUCUUAGCCUUAGAACCUAUUUGUUCAGCCCCACCUUCAAAUUUUAUUGGAUCAGUUGCAGUUACAGCAUCAGGCAGGAGGCAUAAACACUUGGGGAAAAUCAGGAAUUUCGUUUUACAGUAUACGUUUAAAAGGAGCCUGUUGUCAAUGUCAAUUUUCAACCUGUGCAGUUAGAAGAAGGCAUUUGUGGUAGAGAACAACCUGCUCUACAUGGAAAUGACUUUCUUUUUUCUAGGAUGAGAUUGCCAGAUAGCAGAUCUGACAAGUCCUGAAACAUCAGUGUCAGUCACUGAGAGGCACAAGAGAGUUUCCUUUGAGUUAUUGCCUUGCCUCAGUUACUCCUAGGUAACUUCACAUGGAAAAACAAAAUACCCAGGAUAGACUAGACAAUCCUGCACAACAAAGGAAAUUCUGAAGGCAUCACAACUCCUAACUUCAAACUCUACUACAGGGCUACAGUGAUAAAACAACCUGGUAUUGGCAUAAAAAACAGACAGGAAGACCAAUGGAAUUGAAUCAAAGACCCAUUGAAUCCAUAUACCAACAAACACCUGAUUUUUGACAAAAAAGCAAAAAAUAUGAAAUGGAAAAAAUAAAGCAUGUUUAACAAAUGGUGAUAGCAUAACUAGAUAUCAACUUGUAGAAUAAUGUAAAUAGAUCCAUAUGGAACACCAUGCACAAAACUCCAGUUCAAAUGGGUUAAAGACCUCAACAAAAAGCCAGCCACACUGGACCUCACUGAAGAGAAAGUGGGAAAUAAACUUGAAUACAUUCGCACAGGAGAUCACUUCCUAAAUAUAACCCAUUAGUUUAUGUACAGCAUCUGUAUGUAGGUGUCCACUGAGGCUGAAAUAGGAUGAUGGAUCUCCUAAAAUUAGAGUGAAGCAGUUAUGAGCCAACUGAUGCGGAUGCUGGGAACAUAACCCAGGUCUUCUGCAGGAGCAGCUAACUCUUAACUUGCCGGGCGGUGA